AGCUCCAGAAGCGUAUAUUAAAGUUGUUGCAGUUAAAACGCUCGUACGACCGCUCGUAUUGCAGUUAAAACGCUAGUAGUCGGGUUUCGGGUCGGGCCGAGCGGUCUGCCGAUGGGUAUGCACUGUUUGGCGCGGCCUUCUUUCCGGAGACCGCGGCUACUCUUAACUGAGCGGGCGUGGGAGACGGAUCGUUUACUUUGAAAAAAUCAGAGUGUUUCAAGCAGGCAGCUCGCUCUUGCAUGGUACAGCAUGGGAUGAUUGAAUAGGACUCCGGUGCUAUUUUGUUGGUUUCGAACACCAGGAGUAAUGAUUAACAGGGACAGUCAGGGGCACUCGUAUUCCGUCGAGAGAGGUGAAAUUCUCAGACCAAUGGAAGACGAACCACUGCGAAAGCAUUUGCCAGGGAUGUUUUCACUG
RNAcentral lists this ribosomal RNA (417 nucleotides) under Phaeocystis sp. Its description in RNAcentral is "partial small subunit ribosomal RNA". It matches the Rfam family "Eukaryotic small subunit ribosomal RNA", at positions 587 to 975 of the family's 1831-position model. Lineage: Eukaryota; Haptophyta; Phaeocystales; Phaeocystaceae. The record is from RNAcentral.